CUCUCCCUCAUUCUCUCCUCACACGUUUUCUCCCCCUCUCCCACUCUUUCUCUCCAAAAAUCUUCCAUUCAAGCUUUAUUCUUGCAACCAUUGAAAUUAUUUUCAAGAGUCUCCGACGGAUCGCAUCGUUCUUUGCUCCUACCGUUUUAUUUUUGUCAAAGAAGGGUGUUGUGUAUUCGUGAACUCGAGGAUCGAGAGUUGCUAUAAGUUGGGUUGUGAAUUGCUAGGCGAACGAGGCUAUAUGGCUGUGUUGUGAAACGAAUUCUGGUCUGAGUAUGGCCGCUAACCCUAUCAGGCUGUGUACACUGGUGGGAUCGUGAGCCGUCCUUGCUAGUCGGCCGGUCUCGUGGGCGAAUAGUGUGGCCACACUUUCGUC
Salvia splendens (bonfire salvia) is the source of this 376-nucleotide long non-coding RNA. RefSeq lists it as uncharacterized. The record is from RefSeq and is a predicted model, not a curated record. NCBI's taxonomy places the organism in Eukaryota, Viridiplantae, Streptophyta, Magnoliopsida, Lamiales, Lamiaceae. The transcript has 3 exons.